CUACGGGGCGCUGCAGUGGGGAAUAUUGCACAAUGAGCGAAAGCUUGAUGCAGCCAUACCGCGUGUGUGAAGAAGGCCCGAGGGUUGUAAAGCACUUUCAAUUGUGAGGAAGGUUCAGUAGUUAAUACCUGCUGUUCUUGACGUUAACUUUAGAAGAAGCACCGGCUAACUCUGUGCCAGCAGCCGCGGUAAUACAGAGGGUGCAAGCGUUAUUCGGAAUUACUGGGCGUAAAGCGCGCGUAGGCGGAUUGUUAAGUCAGUUGUGAAAGCCCUGGGCUCAACCUGGGAACUGCAUCUGAUACUGGCAAUCUAGAGUUUAAGAGAGGGAAGUGGAAUUCCAGGUGUAGCAGUGAAAUGCGUAGAUAUCUGGAGGAACAUCAGUGGCGAAGGCGACUUCCUGGCUUAAAACUGACGCUGAGGUGCGAAAGCGUGGGUAGCGAACGGGAUUAGAUACCCUCGUAGUC
RNAcentral lists this ribosomal RNA (464 nucleotides) under uncultured bacterium. Its description in RNAcentral is "partial 16S ribosomal RNA". It matches the Rfam family "Bacterial small subunit ribosomal RNA", at positions 339 to 795 of the family's 1533-position model. The record is from RNAcentral.